CUGAUGGCGACCGGCGUACGGGUGAGUAACGCGUAUCCAACCUGCCCUUUACUAUGGGACAGCCCGUCGAAAGGCGGAUUAAUACCGUAUGUUGUCAUGUUGAUGCAUAUUUUCAUGACCAAAGGCUUUGGCCGGUAAAGGAUGGGGAUGCGUCUGAUUAGCUUGCCGGCGGGGUAACGGCCCACCGGGGCGACGAUCAGUAGGGGUUCUGAGAGGAAGGUCCCCCACAUUGGAACUGAGACACGGUCCAAACUCCUACGGAAGGCAGCAG
This 271-nucleotide ribosomal RNA is filed under the name uncultured bacterium. Its description in RNAcentral is "partial 16S ribosomal RNA". It matches the Rfam family "Bacterial small subunit ribosomal RNA", at positions 85 to 354 of the family's 1533-position model. The record is from RNAcentral.